UAUUCCUCACCAGUCCAGUAGUAUUCCCUUAUAUAUAUUCACACAAUUCAAUACACAUAUAUAUACACCAACAUAUGUAUAAGCGUCUUUUGACACACUUUAUACGAAUUCAGAAGUGAGACAUUAAUGGAAGAGCGGAAAUCCAGCGUUUUCUGAACUCUCUCCCUCAAUGGCUGCUCAUAUAUAUAUAGCCAUGCUUCUUAAUUAAUUAAAGAACAGCCAUGAGAGAUUGAGUUCAGAAAACUCUGGCUUUCCUUGUUUCAAUUAGCAAACUCGAGAAGGAAGCAUAUCAAUUGCGGUGUUCCCUGAUUGUACGGUGUCUUUUUGCACUUGACUAACUACACAAUUGAUUGGGAUCAGAUAACUUCAGUUCGCCGGGGCAGGCGUGUGACAACACUAGAGAGAAAAUCAUGUUCAUACUCAUGAUCAAUUGCUGAUAGAAUUUCACAAACGCAUAUAUAAAACAAUCAGAGGAUGCUGUGGUACGGAAGGCGAAGAUCAAAGAAAUUUCUCAAAUUACCUCGACAAAUUCUCAGCUAUAUAUACUACUGUAAGCUCCAAAGAGCGGCGUCUUACUUUGUAUUCGUACUUCUACCCUUUUUCCACACAA
Nicotiana tabacum (common tobacco) is the source of this 610-nucleotide long non-coding RNA. RefSeq lists it as uncharacterized. The record is from RefSeq and is a predicted model, not a curated record. NCBI's taxonomy places the organism in Eukaryota, Viridiplantae, Streptophyta, Magnoliopsida, Solanales, Solanaceae.